Non-coding RNA from Trichonephila clavipes, 73 nucleotides. The record is from the annotation of a GenBank genome assembly. NCBI's taxonomy places the organism in Eukaryota, Metazoa, Arthropoda, Arachnida, Araneae, Nephilidae.
GUCCCGGUCGCGAAAUGGAUACCGCGUUAGACUUCUAAUCUGAAAGUCAUGGGUAUGAAUUUCCCCUGGGACA